GUUAAAGAGACCAGAGGUUUUGGUAUCAAAGAACAACAACUGUGAGAACAGAAGCGUAAGAUCUAGAUGGUUAGUGGUGUGAUCAGAAGGGAGGAUAAAUGAGUUUAAGCCAAGGUACCAAGGAAUGGUGAGAGGAGCUUUAGCUCUAUCAUCUCCAUCACCCCCUUCCAAAAUCAACAAUCAACAGAAGUAAAAGUUAAUACUUUUUGUAAAGUAUACAAACUAUACUUUUGGUGAAAAAAAAAUCUAUAUUUGCAUUUGCUAUGACAAAUCCCUCAGCUACACCUUCCACCCAGAUGACUGCCCCCAAGCCUCCCCUGCAUGUAAAAUGUGGUCCUCCUCCCGAGCUGAGAGUUUCAGUGGGAGCUGGGGAUGAGGCCACGGUGCAACCUCAGCAAGGGGUUCUUGAAGUGAAAUGGGGCAGAGGGCCUGAGAAUUCAGGAGAUGGCAGAGACCAAAGAAAUGCUUUCUGUGCCAUUCUGGUGAGGAAGAGGAGGCAAAGAAAUCGAGAGAGAAGAAGAGGGAAGGAGAAGAAGGAGAGAGCAAAGCGAGGAGGGAAAAGAGAAGGGAACAAUAAAAGAGAUGACAAGGACAUCAAUCCUAAAACCGGCUGAGCAGCUCCCAGGGCCCUGAGAGCUCUGCCUCCAAGUUUCAAGCUUGAGUUCUCCUCCCAGGGCAACUGAAGAUCCCAGGGAGCGGCUGCCCAGCUCCCGGCAAGGAGUUCGCUCCUGUGACCCACAAGCCAAGGGGCUCCAGACCUCAGGCUGUGGAUGACUCCGUGGUUGCUCCUCCAGGGGCCUGAUUGGUGGGGAGAAGACCCUCCAGAACUUGAACCAUAGUAGGUCUCUGAACUUCCUGCUGUCUCCGCUAAGUCCUCCCCUCCAGGCCUGUACUCUGCAGCCUUCCUUCGUCUCAGAUUCGCUCA
RNAcentral lists this long non-coding RNA (925 nucleotides) under Equus caballus (horse). RNAcentral describes it as "lncRNA (ENSECAG00000052491.1)". Lineage: Eukaryota; Metazoa; Chordata; Mammalia; Perissodactyla; Equidae. The record is from RNAcentral.